UAGGGAAUCUUCCACAAUGGACGCAAGUCUGAUGGAGCAACGCCGCGUGAGUGAAGAAGGUUUUCGGAUCGUAAAGCUCUGUUGUUGGUGGAGAAGGAUAGAGGCAGUAACUGGUCUUUAUUUGACGGUAAUCAACCAGAAAGUCACGGCUAACUACGUGCCAGCAGCCGCGGUAAUACGUAGGUGGCAAGCGUUGUCCGGAUUUAUUGGGCGUAAAGCGAGCGCAGGCGGAAUGAUAAGUCUGAUGUGAAAGCCCACGGCUCAACCGUGGAACUGCAUCGGAAACUGUCAUUCUUGAGUGCAGAAGAGGAGAGUGGAAUUCCAUGUGUAGCGGUGGAAUGCGUAGAUAUAUGGAAGAACACCAGUGGCGAAGGCGGCUCUCUGGUCUGCAACUGACGCUGAGGCUCGAAAGCAUGGGUAGCGAACAGG
This 429-nucleotide ribosomal RNA is filed under the name bacterium. RNAcentral describes it as "partial 16S ribosomal RNA". It matches the Rfam family "Bacterial small subunit ribosomal RNA", at positions 355 to 776 of the family's 1533-position model. The record is from RNAcentral.